AUUUAUUAGAACAAAACCAACCGGCUUCGGCCGCUGGUUUGAUGACUCUGGAUAACUUUUCUGAUCGCACGGCCGAGCGCCAGCGACGUAUCUUUCAAAUGGCUGCCCUAUCAACUGUUGAUGGUAGGUGAUAUGCCUACCAUGGUUAUGACGGGUAACGGGGAAUCAGGGUUCGAUUCCGGAGAGGGAGCCUUAGAAAUGGCUACCACAUCUAAGGAAGGCAGCAGGCGCGCAAAUUACCCACUCUCAGCUCGAGGAGGUAGUGACGAAAAAUAACGAUGCGGGACUCUUUUGAGGCUCCGCAAUUGGAAUGAGUACAAUUUAAAUCCUUUAACGAGGAACGAUUGGAGGGCAAGUCUGGUGCCAGCCGCCGCGGUAACUCCAGCUCCAAUAGCGUAUAUUAAAGUUGCUGCAGUUAAAAAGCUCGUAGUUGGAUCUCAGGUACGGAUUUAGUGGUUGGAUUUAUUCCGAACCACUAAUUUCCACCUAAUCAGCCGCUUGUUACUUCAUGUGCUCUUAAUCGAGUGCUUGAAGUACUCGGCACGUUUACUUUGAAAAAAUAAGAGUGCUCAAAGC
This 576-nucleotide ribosomal RNA is filed under the name uncultured eukaryote. RNAcentral's name for it is "bacterial SSU rRNA". It matches the Rfam family "Eukaryotic small subunit ribosomal RNA", at positions 203 to 781 of the family's 1831-position model. The record is from RNAcentral.